RNAcentral lists this unclassified non-coding RNA (353 nucleotides) under soil metagenome. RNAcentral describes it as "partial contains 5.8S ribosomal RNA, internal transcribed spacer 2, and large subunit ribosomal RNA". The stretch from base 3 to 121 matches the Rfam family "5.8S ribosomal RNA", at positions 36 to 154 of the family's 154-position model. The record is from RNAcentral.
GAAUGAAGAACGUAGCGAAAUGCGAUAAGUAAUGUGAAUUGCAGAAUUCAGUGAAUCAUCGAAUCUUUGAACGCACAUUGCGCCCGCCAGUAUUCUGGCGGGCAUGCCUGUUCGAGCGUCAUUACAACCCUCAGGCCCCCGGGCCUGGCGUUGGGGAUCGGCGGAGCCCCCCGUGGGCACACGCCGUCCCCCAAAUACAGUGGCGGUCCCGCCGCAGCUUCCAUCGCGUAGUAGCUAACACCUCGCGACUGGAGAGCGGCGCGGCCACGCCGUAAAACACCCAACUCUUCUGAAGUUGACCUCGAAUCAGGUAGGAAUACCCGCUGAACUUAAGCAUAUCAAUAAGCGGAGGA